UAACUUUUGACAACGGAUCUCUUGGUUCUCCCAUCGAUGAAGAACGCAGCGAAACGCGAUAGGUAAUGUGAAUUGCAGAAUUCAGUGAAUCAUCGAAUCUUUGAACGCAUCUUGCGCUCCUUGGUAUUCCUCGGAGCAUGCCUGUUUGAGUGUC
Molecule: ribosomal RNA, 154 nt
Filed under: Meira nashicola
Lineage: Eukaryota; Fungi; Basidiomycota; Exobasidiomycetes; Exobasidiales; Brachybasidiaceae
Also listed under: 1 other name
Description: 5.8S ribosomal RNA
Rfam family: 5.8S ribosomal RNA
About the family: 5.8S ribosomal RNA (5.8S rRNA) is a component of the large subunit of the eukaryotic ribosome.
Source: RNAcentral